CGUAGGGUCCGAGCGUUAUCCGGAUUUAUUGGGCGUAAAGCGUUGCGUAGGCGGUUUACUAAGUCUUCUCUUAAAGCCUGGGGCUUAACCCCGGAUCUGGGGAGGAUACUGGUAAGCUAGAGUAAUAGAGGGGGAGAUGGAAUUGUCGGUGGAGCAGUGAAAUGCGUUGAUAUCGACAAGAACACCAAAGGCGAAGGCAGUCUCCUGGCUAUUUACUGACGCUCAGGCACGAAAGCUGAGGGAGCGAAGCAGAUUAGAGACCUGCGUAGUCUCAGCCGUAAACGAUGGACACUAGAUAGUGGGGGUUUCUCACUGUCGCAAAGCUAACGCGUUAAGUGUCCCGCCUGGGGAGUACGGUCGCAAGACUA
RNAcentral lists this ribosomal RNA (368 nucleotides) under uncultured organism. RNAcentral's name for it is "bacterial SSU rRNA". It matches the Rfam family "Bacterial small subunit ribosomal RNA", at positions 526 to 896 of the family's 1533-position model. The record is from RNAcentral.